CUCAGCUGCCGAGAAGCAAGCGGGUCCUGCUACACAGUGGUUCUCAACCUCGGCUGCCUGCUGGGGUUGCCUGGGGAGCUUCGAGAACUCCUGAUGCCUGAGUGCAAUCCCCAGAGAGUCUGCUGUCACUGGCCUGGGGUGCAGCCUGGGCAGGUAAUUCUAAGGUUCUGAGUUGAGAACCAGUGUCCUAGCAGAAGGCCGGGGUCUGUUCCGAGGCUGAAGCUGGAGGUCACUUUAUCUGUUGGGUGGAACACUGGAUGAGAAGUGGGAGCAGUUAAUAGCCCGUGGCAGUGGCCCUGAAGAGAGCAGUGCUUCUCAAAUGGUGAUGUGCAUACGUAACACUGAGGGAUCAUGCCAACCUGCUGAGACGUGGGGGCCUGAGAUUCUGCAUCUCUCACAAGCACCCCCCUCCCCAUGGUGCUGCUGCCACCCUAUGAGCAUCAAGAAUUCAGAGGACAUGGUGGUGGUAGUUAAGUACCCUUUAACUCAGUUGUUAAGUGCUCAGAUGGGAUCACCGUAACCUUCAGGAGAAAUGGACAUGGACAGCACCUUGAAGAUCUUGAACCUGGAUCUUCAUUAUGACAUCAAGUCUGGAGGUAGCUGACCAGGGAGUACUGGAACACAAUAUAGUUUGGUGAAAAUGACUCUGAAUGAAUGGGAGGAGGGUGUGUGUGUGUGUGUGUGCACGCACGCGCAUACAUGUGUGAAUUUGUAUGCACUGGGCAGCUAAGGGGGUGGAAUGUAGCUGCUAUGAUUGACCAUGGCCCAAGCUGGACCAACAAAACUCUUUCUUUUGGGAAUCUAGAACUUUGAACCAAGGGAACGUUUAAUUUGGCAGUUUUGAUUCUGAUCCAUUGCAGUGAUCUAGACAGAAGGUCCCUGAAUUGCUGUGCUACAAUCCGUCCUUAAAUCCUCCCUGAUACCCUGCUCUUCCCGAGGCUGGGAAGGUCCACCUCUUUCUUGAAUCCCCUAAGGAAUCCAAUCCAGUAUUUGUCCUCCCUGCCUCCAUUUUUCCUUUUUUAAAGCAAACUGGAGUUUGCCUUCAAAAUAACCAUGGAUAAUACAGAACUCCUUCCAGAAGUAGCUCCCACAUGCUUCA
Long non-coding RNA from Dama dama (fallow deer), 1099 nucleotides. RefSeq lists it as uncharacterized. The record is from RefSeq and is a predicted model, not a curated record. Lineage: Eukaryota; Metazoa; Chordata; Mammalia; Artiodactyla; Cervidae. The transcript is spliced from 3 exons.